This 468-nucleotide ribosomal RNA is filed under the name uncultured bacterium. Its description in RNAcentral is "partial 16S ribosomal RNA". It matches the Rfam family "Bacterial small subunit ribosomal RNA", at positions 28 to 507 of the family's 1533-position model. The record is from RNAcentral.
GACGAACGCUGGCGGCGUGCUUAACACAUGCAAGUCGAACGGAAAGGCCCUGCUUUUGUGGGGUGCUCGAGUGGCGAACGGGUUAGUAACACGUGAGUAACCUGCCCUUGACUUUGGGAUAACUUCAGGAAACUGGGGCUAAUACCGGAUAGGAGCUCCUGCUGCAUGGUGGGGGUUGGAAAGUUUCGGCGGUUGGGGAUGGACUCGCGGCUUAUCAGCUUGUUGGUGGGGUAGUGGCUUACCAAGGCUUUGACGGGUAGCCGGCCUGAGAGGGUGACCGGCCACAUUGGGACUGAGAUACGGCCCAGACUCCUACGGGAGGCAGCAGUGGGGAAUAUUGCACAAUGGGCGGAAGCCUGAUGCAGCAACGCCGCGUGCGGGAUGACGGACUUCGGGUUGUAAACCGCUUUCGCCUGUGACGAAGCGUGAGUGACGGUAAUGGGUAAAGAAGCACCGGCUAACUACGUG